UAUGAACGCUAGCGGCAUGCCUUAAGCAUGCAAGUCGAACGGUAACAGGGUGCUUGCACCGCUGACGAGUGGCGAACGGGUGAGUAAUGCGUCGGAACGUGCCGAGUAGUGGGGGAUAACGCAGCGAAAGUUGUGCUAAUACCGCAUACGUACUGAGGUAGAAAGUGGGGGACCUUCGGGCCUCACGCUAUUCGAGCGGCCGACGUCUGAUUAGCUAGUAGGUGAGGUAAAGGCUCACCUAGGCGACGAUCAGUAGCGGGUCUGAGAGGAUGAUCCGCCACACUGGGACUGAGACACGGCCCAGACUCCUACGGGAGGCAGCAGUGGGGAAUUUUGGACAAUGGGCGAAAGCCUGAUCCAGCCAUGCCGCGUGUCUGAAGAAGGCCUUCGGGUUGUAAAGGACUUUUGUCAGGGAGGAAAUCCCUAGUGCUAAUAACACUGGGGGAUGACAGUACCUGAAGAAUAAGCACCGGCUAACUACGUGCCAGCAGCCGCUGUAA
Molecule: ribosomal RNA, 500 nt
Filed under: uncultured bacterium
Lineage: Bacteria
Description: partial 16S ribosomal RNA
Rfam family: Bacterial small subunit ribosomal RNA
Source: RNAcentral